RNAcentral lists this unclassified non-coding RNA (452 nucleotides) under Hevea brasiliensis (rubber tree). The record is from RNAcentral. Lineage: Eukaryota; Viridiplantae; Streptophyta; Magnoliopsida; Malpighiales; Euphorbiaceae.
CUCCCGCUCCACAACCGAUGGCACCCACAGAUCCCGGCCGUCGCCGACGUCACGGAAGGCGAGCUCUUCCGGGUUGAGAUGGUGGACUGGACCGGAGGCAGGGUCGGAGACAACAGUUCUGCCACGGACGUCAAAGAUUUGGAUCUCACCAUCACACAUUAUCUCAGUGGACCACUGAGAGUUAUAGACAAAGAAGGAUUUCCUGCCAAGCCUGGUGAUCUUCUUGCUGUGGAGAUAUGUAAUUUAGGUCCACUCCCUGGAGAUGAAUGGGGAUAUACAGCAACAUUUGAUAGAGAGAAUGGAGGUGGAUUUUUGACUGACCAUUUUCCACAUGCAACCAAAGCUAUAUGGUAUUUUGAAGGAAUAUAUGCAUACUCCCCUCAGAUACCAGGGGUGCGCUUCCCAGGUUUAACUCAUCCCGGAGUAAUUGGAACAGCACCAUCUAUGGAACU